CAGGUCAGGUUCAUAUAGCUGUAACAAGGACAAAAACAAAAACCCAAAAUUAAAUACUCUCCAUUUUCUGCUACAGUACUGUACAGGAAGAAGAAGAAGCUAGAGGUGCAUAAAAGCUUAGCAUUUAUGCCUAGAUCGGGGUGGAGGAUAUUGAGUCACGAGUCUUCUGUUUACCUAAAACAUGCAUGCCUCGUGCCUCUUCUUCUCUCCUCCUCAAUCAAUCUCAAGCUUCUGGUUGUUCCUUCUUAUAUUAAGGUCUUUUCCAACAAAGGCAAAACCUUAUUCAGUGCCUCGGUGGCUUGGUUCAUCUUUCCUCUCCUUUCUGGUAUGUUCGGUUUGAGAGCUUGAAGCUGCCAGCAUGAUCUGGUACCACUAGAGACUAAACCUAGCUAGCUAGCUUUAUAAAUUCUAUAUUCAGGGUUAAUUUUGUGCUUAUAUCAUAUAUGUCCGUUUUCAGGUUUAGAUAUAAGAACUGCACCAAAUAGAUCGGCAAAAGAUCAGCUUUAUAUAGAAAUAGUUAUUAUUCUCGCACCACCCAGUUAUUAGAAUAGGAUCCGGUCGGUGUUGAUUUUGUGCUUAAGUCCAAUGGUUUCAGGUUUAGAUAUAAGCUAGAACGCCGAAUAGAUUAGCAGAAGAUCCAGCUUUUUAUCAAAAUUUUGAUGGGGGUAUUAUAGUUUUUGAUAGAUCUUGGUUUAUUUCAUGUUCUGGGAAUUCUGGAGAAACGGGCCGGUUUGGAGUCAAUUGAUUCAGUUAAUUACUACAUAAUUAUAUAAGGUUACUCUAGCUAUACCAGGUCAUCUUGCAGCUUCAAACACUCACUCACCAACAGUAUAAAACUCGAUCUAGCUCUCAAUUGAUAUGGAGGUCUUAUGGUGAUUGUCUGCUCGUCCCAAGGAGAUAGGCUUGGUUUCUGCAGGGUUCCCAUCGCUUAUAUAAUUGAAGCUCUAACACAGUGCACUGGUCUGGUACUCUUACUAGUUUAUUGAGAAGAUAGUAACAAGAUCAAUGAACGUGGUCACUCAGAUUCUCAGAAAACACGUUCUCUGAGAAAUUAAUUGCUUUAUAGCAGCUAGCUAUCUGCAAAGUGCAGCCUACAGACUGUCGUAAACGGCAAACCCAGAAAACAUAUUACUAAUUAACCAGCUGGAUCGUCUCUGAGAAAAGGGUUGCAUGCCUUUACUGGUUGAUGUGUGAUUAUGGUCAUGCAUGCUAAUUAUUAUCGCUGGUUGUUUAUAGCUAGGGUCAAGAAUCGAGUUUAAUUUCACCGAUCAUCAGAUAACUAACAAAUAUGAAUGUACUACUAAUAAAAA
This is a long non-coding RNA of Rosa rugosa (rugosa rose), 1310 nucleotides long. RefSeq lists it as uncharacterized. The record is from RefSeq and is a predicted model, not a curated record. NCBI's taxonomy places the organism in Eukaryota, Viridiplantae, Streptophyta, Magnoliopsida, Rosales, Rosaceae. The transcript is spliced from 2 exons.